GCCCUCGUAGCUCAGUGGAUAGAGCGUCUGCCUCCGGAGCAGAAGGUCGUAGGUUCGAAUCCUGUCGAGGGCA
Molecule: transfer RNA, 73 nt
Filed under: Acaricomes phytoseiuli
Lineage: Bacteria; Bacillati; Actinomycetota; Actinomycetes; Micrococcales; Micrococcaceae
Also listed under: 4 other names
Description: tRNA-Arg
Rfam family: tRNA
About the family: Transfer RNA (tRNA) molecules are approximately 80 nucleotides in length.
Source: RNAcentral